GGAUGCUAUCAUACCAGCACUAACGCACCGGA
Molecule: ribosomal RNA, 32 nt
Filed under: Solanum seaforthianum
Lineage: Eukaryota; Viridiplantae; Streptophyta; Magnoliopsida; Solanales; Solanaceae
Source: RNAcentral